GCUCUAAAAAACAUGGUAACCAUCUCAUUUGUCUUUGAUUUGAAAACUUUCUAUCUUUCUCCUGUUUUCUUUGACAUACUUAAUUUUUUUUUUCUUGUGUUAACUGCAGCUUCCUCUUUCUUUACUCAAGAUUGCUCAAGGCCACCCAAUGUUGGUGGAAUUGAAAAACAGAGACUUACAAUGGGCAUUUGGUCAAUUGUGAUGCUUGGAUGAACAUCCAUCUCCGUUUAGCUUUCAUUUUCCUUAAAUCUAAUAUCCUUGAUCUAUUUUAGAUUCCAAAAUUUGCCAUCCCUUUACACGCUUUCAUUUUAUGUUCUUGACCCUGGCUUUUCUUGCAGGUUGCUUGAUUUUUCUGUUUUGCUCUAAAAAACAUGGUAACCAUCUCAACUGUCUUUGAUUUGAAAACUUUUUAUCUUUCUGCAGUUUUCUUUGACACUCUUAAUUUUUUUUUUCUUGUGUUAAAUGCUGCUUCCUAUUUCUUUACUCAUGACUGCUCAAGGCCACCCAAUACUUGUAAUUCAUGGUGGUUCUAUGAUGUAAUAGAUGGUGGAAUUGAAAAACGGAGAAACUUACAAUGGGCAUUUGGUCAAUUGUGAUGCUUGGAUGAACAUCCAUCUCCGUUUAGCUUUAAUUUUCGCUAACCCUAAUAUCCUUGAUUUGUUUUAGAUUCCAAAAUUUGC
This is a long non-coding RNA of Populus nigra (black poplar), 680 nucleotides long. RefSeq lists it as uncharacterized. NCBI's taxonomy places the organism in Eukaryota, Viridiplantae, Streptophyta, Magnoliopsida, Malpighiales, Salicaceae. The record is from RefSeq and is a predicted model, not a curated record. The transcript is spliced from 3 exons.